GGAAUCUGCACAAAUGACGCGAGCGCGUGGACGACGCGGACGCGUGAUACAAAAAACGCUGAGUGACGCGAUCGCAUGGGCGACGCGGACGCGUGACAUGCGCGAUCUGCAGAAUUACAAAAGUUGCUGGCAGAGAUUCUGGGCCACAUUUCAACCUAGUUUUCGGCCCAGAAACACAGAUUAAAGUCAGGGAAUGUGCAGAGAC
Molecule: non-coding RNA, 205 nt
Organism: Arachis ipaensis
Lineage: Eukaryota; Viridiplantae; Streptophyta; Magnoliopsida; Fabales; Fabaceae
Source: RefSeq, a predicted model, not a curated record